CAAAAUGCUGGAAUUAUAAGCAUAAGCCACUGCACCCGGCCAGAUUUGUUAUUAUAUGUUGAGCUAAGAGCAAGGCAGAAAUAAGAGUUACUCUCUAAGAGAGAACCAAACCAAGAUUUUUGCAGAAAUCAUUUUGCAGAAAUUAUGGCAUCCAAGAGAGUACAGGUGAAUGUAAGCCUGGGGAAUUACAAGAAUAGUUAAAAUCUAAUUCAGGUCUUCUGGGUGUACAUUUAAGUCUCCUUGGGGAAGCGAAUAGAGGUUUGACUGCAACCUUGGAAGUUUACAUCUAGUUAUUUGCUGUCUUUAGAAACAAGGGAAUGUCUGCAUGAUACAUAAGAAAGAGGCAGCCAGAAAAAAUGUCUGUUUCUUUUACUGUCUAAUAUGUAUAUCACUGUGAUAGAGAUUUGAUCCCAUUUAAUAUUAAGAUCAUCCAACUAAUUUUUCUACCUGAGUCCUUUUGACUUCAAAUUCUAGUAUCAAGCAUUACAUUAGACUGCUUAGAAGUCUAACAAAUUCUUAGAAUAUAUUUAUGUAUUGCUGAGAUGAAGCCUUGGGAAACACCCAUAUCUAAUAAAGUGACUAGGUGUAACCUCUAGUUCUGUAUGCAUGCCUUUGAAAAUAGGAGGACAUAUUAGUCCAGAUUCCCUGGGAAGCAAAGGCCAAGACAGGAAUUGACAUGCAAGAGAUUUAUUAGGGUAAAAACCUGCAAGAGAACUAGGGUAGAGAAUGGGAGGAGACUGGGAGAAUUAUCUGACUCUUGCGAAGGAGAAAGGGAAGGCAGACCGGCAGGGAGGCAACUGGGCAGGAAGGAGGGAAUGAAUGAAUGAGACUGUAGUGCAGUUCUAAGCAAGACAGGAAUUUGAAUGGAUUAUUUGGUAGCAUUUCCUGCUUCUAUCAUAUAGCUGAGAUCUUUAGGGUGUUUCUUAGCCCAGAGAAAGUGAAUUACAAAUACAUAGUGACUGACAUAAUUAUAUAAUAAUAUUUAGUAUAAAUAUAAAAGAAAAUCAUUGGGUACUUUGAUGAAACAGGUGUCUACGGUUCAUAUUGGGGGAGGCAUAUGGAGAGAUUUUGAAUGCCUUGCCUUACUUAUGCCGUGGAUCUUAAUUAGAUGACACAAGCCCAUCUUUGAGAUCCUGAGAAACUCAGCAUGCCAAUCAGAGAUCUAUAAAUCAUAUGACUGAGGGGAGUUUGCCACAUGAUUUAAGAACAUUAUGGAGUGGACACCAGGACUCCAAGAUGGAGUCAGUCAUACCAGUGAAGGACAAGAAACUUCUGGAGGUCAAACGCGGGGAGCUGCCAAGCCAGAUCUUGACACGGGACUUAGCCCUAGUGGCAUUGCCAAAGUGUUUUGAAGAGGUAACUACUGGUAUUACAAGUACAUCAACGUGAAGAAGGGGAGCAUCUUGGGGAUUACCAUGGUGCUGGCAAGCUAUGUGGUCUUCAGCUACUCCGUUUCCUACAAGGAACUCAAGCACGAGUGGCUACGCAAGUACCACUGAAGAAGGGCACACGCUCUGCACACCCCACCAUGACCUUCUUGGCCCAAGCUCCUCCAUAAGGAACACAGUGUCCAUCGUUGCUGAAUCCUUUCUUAUCCUAAUGGGAAUUUACCUCCAAAUAAAAGAUGACUGGUAU
This is an RNA transcript of Sapajus apella (tufted capuchin), 1635 nucleotides long. It is a transcript of the gene named ATP synthase subunit f, mitochondrial pseudogene, with no coding region annotated. The record is from RefSeq and is a predicted model, not a curated record. The transcript has a single exon. NCBI's taxonomy places the organism in Eukaryota, Metazoa, Chordata, Mammalia, Primates, Cebidae.